UACGUAGGGGGCAAGCGUUAUCCGGAUUUACUGGGUGUAAAGGGGGCGCAGACGGCGAUGCAAGCCAGGAGUGAAAGCCCGGGGCCCAACCCCGGGACUGCUCUUGGAACUGCGUGGCUGGAGUGCAGGAGGGGCAGGCGGAAUUCCUGGUGUAGCGGUGAAAUGCGUAGAUAUCAGGAGGAACACCGGCGGCGAAGGCGGCCUGCUGGACCGCGACUGACGUUGAGGCUCGAAAGCGUGGGGAGCGAACAGG
RNAcentral lists this ribosomal RNA (253 nucleotides) under uncultured bacterium. RNAcentral's name for it is "partial 16S ribosomal RNA". It matches the Rfam family "Bacterial small subunit ribosomal RNA", at positions 524 to 776 of the family's 1533-position model. The record is from RNAcentral.